CAGUAGCCGCGGGAAUACGAAGGGUGCAAGCGUUGCUCGGAAUUAUUGGGCGUAAAGGGUAGGUAGGUUGUCUUGUUUGUCUAAGGUGAAAUCCCAUGGCUUAACCGUGGAAGUGCCUUAGAAACGGCAAGACUAGAGUCCUAGAGGGGUUUGUGGAAUUCCCGGUGUAGCGGUGAAAUGCGUAGAGAUCGGGAGGAACACCAGCGGCGAAGGCGGCAAACUGGAUAGGAACUGACACUCAACUACGAAAGCGUGGGGGUCAAACAGGAUUAGAUACCCCGGUAGUCCCUGUCUCUUAUAC
This 301-nucleotide ribosomal RNA is filed under the name uncultured bacterium. RNAcentral's name for it is "partial 16S ribosomal RNA". It matches the Rfam family "Bacterial small subunit ribosomal RNA", at positions 509 to 807 of the family's 1533-position model. The record is from RNAcentral.